RNAcentral lists this RNase P RNA (416 nucleotides) under Candidatus Desulfofervidaceae bacterium. RNAcentral describes it as "RNase P RNA component class A". It matches the Rfam family "Bacterial RNase P class A". Rfam says of the family: Ribonuclease P (RNase P) is a ubiquitous endoribonuclease, found in archaea, bacteria and eukarya as well as chloroplasts and mitochondria. Its best characterised activity is the generation of mature 5'-ends of tRNAs by cleaving the 5'-leader elements of precursor-tRNAs. The record is from RNAcentral. Lineage: Bacteria; Pseudomonadati; Thermodesulfobacteriota; Candidatus Desulfofervidia; Candidatus Desulfofervidales; Candidatus Desulfofervidaceae.
UAGAGUAGGUGGAUGGUCGCUCGUAGCUUUAGCUACGGGAGGAAAGUCCGGGCCCCGCAGGGCAGGGUGCUGGGUAACGCCCAGUGGGGGUGACCCCAGGAAAGUGCCACAGAAAAUAGACCGCCAGCGGCCCUGUGGAAUUAGUUUUGCUAUUCCACAGGGUGCGGGUAAGGGUGAAACGGUGAGGUAAGAGCUCACCAGUCCAGGUGGUGACACCUGGAGCUAGGCAAACCCCACCCGGAGCAAGACCAAAUAGGAGGACGUUCUCCGUGGCGGAGAUAAGGGUGGCCCGCCCGAAGUCCUCGGGUAGGUUGCUUGAGGCGUUGGGUAACCGACGUCCCAGAGGAAUGACCAUCGUCUGAUUAAGGGUGACCUUAAUCAGAAGACAGAACCCGGCUUACAGCCUACUCUAACUC